This is a regulatory RNA element of Nocardioides luteus, 78 nucleotides long. It matches the Rfam family "ZMP/ZTP riboswitch aptamer (pfl RNA motif)". Rfam says of the family: Previously known as pfl RNA. ZMP is also known as AICAR. The record is from Rfam. NCBI's taxonomy places the organism in Bacteria, Bacillati, Actinomycetota, Actinomycetes, Propionibacteriales, Nocardioidaceae.
UGACGAGCACACGACUGGCGCAGGUGGGGGACCACCGGGGAGUGUAAAGAGACGGCAUCGACCGCCUGGGUGCCCCUC